RNAcentral lists this long non-coding RNA (250 nucleotides) under Medicago truncatula (barrel medic). RNAcentral describes it as "long non-coding RNA (MTRU_LNC004714)". The record is from RNAcentral. Lineage: Eukaryota; Viridiplantae; Streptophyta; Magnoliopsida; Fabales; Fabaceae.
UCCUCACCACGAUUAUUAGGAGCUUUGUCCUCCGCACGAUUUAUUAGGAGCUUUGUCCUCCGCACGUUUAAAGUAUAUUUAUACUUAUGAUGACGAUUGGUACCACAUGCAUAUAAGGAGUCUAAGAGCAUUGUCGCAUUGUCAUGUCUAAGAUGCUUUGUUGAUAAUGAUUGAAUAUGUGAUUACGUGAUAAAUGUUUAUCAAAUAUGCUAUGUUGUUGAUGAUGAUUGAUUAUGUGAUUACGUGAUAA